Molecule: long non-coding RNA, 2031 nt
Organism: Eucalyptus grandis
Lineage: Eukaryota; Viridiplantae; Streptophyta; Magnoliopsida; Myrtales; Myrtaceae
Exons: 2
Source: RefSeq, a predicted model, not a curated record
GAAUUUCCCUCUCGGAAGCCAAUCGCCGAAAGGCAUUAAUCCGCUCUCUUCAAGGAAAAAAAAAUUAGAGAAAGUUCGGCCACAAGAAGAAAGAAACUUUCAGAUUCCGACGUGUCGAUUAAUUUUGGCCUCAACUUACUCGUAUGUUCCCCCCAUUUCUCUGCUCCCACGUUAACCCAAGAUGCCCUGCUCCGUGACUACUGUCCACCAACCGAGUUUCAGCGCUUUACCCAAGUGGUCUUCUUCGUCAAAGAUCAAACCUUUGAGGCGGAAUCCCACUUUGGCGUUCGAUUUCCGCCGCUUGAGAUCGAUCGACCAUGGUGGGUCUGGCGCGAGCGUCCUCGCUCGUGGGAAAGGUGGAGUCUUGAGUCGGGGGCACAUGGCCGAGACCGUGAGAGCUGCUUCUUUUGGGAGCGGCAGCGGACGCAGCAAAGAUAUUAGGAUUCUUGAACAGGAAGGUUUUAUUGAUGGGUCGGCUGGUUUCGCGGCUGGCGGUUUGGAAUCGACUCUUAAUCGUCUGGUUGAUGCCCUUCUCCGUUUGGUCGUUCUUGUUUCGAAAGUAUGCUGAUUUCGUUGCCUUUUCUUGCAAAAAUUACAGUUUGCGAUAGCGUGUCCUGUGUGUUAGGAACGAGGCUUUUGAUCGUUACAGUUUCUGGGUUCUUUUAAGCCAAGCUAGUUGCACUAGUUAGGUGGUUAAUCUUGUGCUUCCCUGUUUCGUGUCUCUGUUUGCUUGAAAUUUUCUGGUGAUUGUACUGCCUUAUUGGAGUUGAAUUGUCAGGCAAAGCUAUCAUCAAUCAAAGCCCGAUUAAAGUUGGAAAUGAAAAUACAGUGUAGAAGAGCAAAGCUCUCCACAUGCUUUGCAAUGCGUUGGACAGUAAUUUUCUUUUUCGUAAAAGAACAGCUUCUUAUAGCAUGAUUGGCUCAUCUACUCAGAAAAGCUCAGAAUGCCAUAGCCAGUCGUAUACCUAUCGCCCGUGUGUUAACUUCCAAGAAAAUCUUUGCUGAUGAUUGCUGAGCAAGUGGCUCGUUGCUGGCGUUUUUGGUGCCAUCAUUUUAUUGAGGCAUGAUGCUGAAUCUCGGUGGGUUCCCAUGGGUUCGGAUGUAAAUAGCAUGCUUUCGGUCGUACUCAAACGAAUAUUGAAUCAAGAAAGGCCAGUGUCCACUGUUCUUUGUUUUAGCCCAUGUCGCCUACAUAGCUCCCACAUGGCAUCGGAACAUAAGACUCCAAAAAUGAUGAACCCAGAAACAGAAUGAACCGUAUGCUAAUUUGGUUUGGGCAUAUUAACGGACACAUGGGGAGCAAUGAGUUGGGGAGCAAAUAUUGACCUGUUCCAAGCUCAAGCGCACACCCAAACUCAAAAGUACUCAACAAGCGACAUUCGGAUUCAACAAAACCAACUCAUUCAAGUCAAGAACAAGAGAAAUGGAGUCGACUCUCACCUCGCUCAAAACAGGAAAGAUCAAGCAGGGCAAAGAGGUUCAUGGAAUUAGCCUCCACCAUGGGGGUUCCUACCCGGCCCGGAGACUAUGGCUAGAGGGCGAGCCCUAGACGAAUCAGGCUACAGUCGGCCGCCUUAGUGCCUCCGAGCCAAGAUCCUGGGGGACAAUGAUGGGACCCCUCCUCCCAGAUUGGUGGCCCAUCUGCGCUCCUUUGCAAGCUUCGCUUGGAGGGAGGAACAUCGAAGUAGAGCUUGCCGCACAGAAUUCAACGCGUCCAGACACCAUCGGCAUUGCUCACCGGCGGAGAGGAUGACGAAGCCGCGGGAUUAGCUAAAGGCAGCGUUGACAUUUCUGCGCAAGCAAGAGAGAGAAAAAGUUUGGGUCUCCAAAUGAGUUCUCCCCUUUCCCACGUUCUUCUUCUCUCCUCUUUCACUCCUUUCUUCUCUCCAGCGAAACACCCCCAGCCAACCUCCCUCUUUAGCUCUUCCAGCUGGGUAAGGAUAAGCAAUUCCUAGUUCCAUACAAAUAUCACUUAAAACUUGAAACAUAUUCAUUGGAAUGAGUUCCGAGUUCCUCAUUUUUUUGACAAAA